CUAUGUGGACUGGACUACUCCAGUUUUUGAUUUGCCAACACAUGACGAGAAACAGACCAAGAAAAACAGCACAGCUAAAGAGAAAGCUAAAACAAACACAUGAGUUUGAUCAUGCGGAGCAAGGAGAUGCAUUAUUUGAUGCCGACCUUGCAAGAUAUGGUGCAUAUGAGGAAGAAAAAUGAAAGUCUUCAAAAGAAAAUGCUUAUAAUUGCAAUAAGAGUUGCACAGAUUGCCUGUCUCUAUGGCACUUAUCUCUGCUUCGAUGAGUUACGACAAGGAUGAAUAAAAAUUGUUGAGGCUUGCUCAAAAAAUCGAGUGGAUUGAUUCGAUUUUCUCAAUUUUGCCAUUGAAGCUAAACCCAUAUACAUCAUUUGAGCUUGAAUUCUGCAGCCCCCAACAUUUAUUGGGCCGGGCCUGUUUGUUGCUAUAUUUUUCUCCUAAAUUUUAAUUGGGCCUUCGGUAGCAAAUAAUAUGUAAUAGGUAGGUCGUCGGACCAUUUGUUAGAAGUGGCCAUAAAAUAAUCAAUCAGAGUAGAGGGAUUUAUUAUAUUUUUAGCUCUUUGUUUUUAUUACUAUUGAGUUAAAGUCAUUCUAUUCAAUUAAA
This is a long non-coding RNA of Salvia splendens (bonfire salvia), 603 nucleotides long. RefSeq lists it as uncharacterized. The record is from RefSeq and is a predicted model, not a curated record. The transcript is spliced from 2 exons. NCBI's taxonomy places the organism in Eukaryota, Viridiplantae, Streptophyta, Magnoliopsida, Lamiales, Lamiaceae.